UACUUCUCUUCCUGAUUUUUCUCUCUCCCUUUCUUCCAAUCCCCUAUUUUUGUUUCUCUGUGCCUGGAAAGUGUUUGAUGAAAAUCCAAUAAGGCUGGAAGGGCAGUAUUAAUCUAUGUUAGUCAUCUGAUUUCUUUUUUCUAUUAUUUAGUUCCAGUAGAAAAUAACAAGUUGAGUAGACCGACUAGCUUUUUGCAAUUUAGGUAUUGAAGAAGAUCAUCGUGACUGCUUUUUCUUUCAUGCAAUAGUUCAGGUUUAUUGUUCUUAGUUUUUCUGUAGUGGUUAAUUUGAUUGCUAUGGAUUAAAAUCUAGAGCUACCUUAUAAUACUGCUUGAAAAUAGCUUUGGCUCUUCACACAUGGGAGUAAUAGGACAGUUUGCGUUCCUAAUUUUCUUUUCUCUGUAUAUGUACAUAGUUUUCAGAUUCUAAUUGUUUGCUACUGAAGCGUAUGUUUUUCUUUUUCGGAAUUGGGUGCGUAUGAACAAUGCAACGGAGGUUAUGUUAAUUCCUAGAGUCUUAUAUGUUCUUUUGUCUCCUGGUGAUUACUUUGAAUGGCUGUGUGAGGAACACAGGUUGCAAUUCCAGUUUCAUCGACGGACUCGCUCGCUGCUCUAGAAGGUGCUUUGGCUUGUUUCUCUGACCGAUUUAUUGGGACAUCUCACAUGGAUCUUCAUGCCUCAUAUACCUAUUUUUUAUUCUCUCGUCAAUUCCACAUGUCUGCUCGUCCAUUGCACGGUACUAGAUGGUCCCUGUUAAGUUAAUUCGAGGUGGGUAAGGUUUGAAUCUCUAUAAGACUCACAGUCAGGUAUGACUGGAGGCAUAUUAUGUAAGUGCAUGUCUACUGUUAUGAGGUUUCAGUUUUCGACUCUAUGCAAUUCUCGGUGCAAGGGCCCCCGCUUCCUUGUUGUGACGUUGCAGCCUCACCGGCCCUUCUGCAGGCAAGAGUUAUGUCCAGAUGAGCUAACCCUUUACUAUCCAAACCUUCUGAAGGUCAUUAGCUCUGAUUCUUUGGAAAAAAGGUUGAGAGCUAUACAAAACAACGCUAAAGAUGGAGCGGCCUGCCAUGUAUUAGGGCAUACACAUUUCUGUUGGGAUUAUGCGGUUGACAAUAUCAGGUAUGUACAAGCGCCUCUGGCAUACCCUCGAGAAAGAAAGCGAAGGAUAAAUGGAGGCCAAGGAUGGCUGCCGUUUUUUGUAUAUUGUGAUGGCUUCAACCCUGAAACAAGAAUAGAAGGGAGCCUGAGAACACUCAGCUUGCGCCAUGGCAGUCUGACUAUUACAACAAGACAGAAGAGAGCCGGAGAACACUCAGCUUGCACUGUGGGUUGCCAAAUAUUUUUCAAUAUACUAUGGACCCCCUGUGUUUGCUCGAGUGUAUUGUACACCAAAAUCAUGAGAGCUCCACACAUAAAUUUUGCCCAGACAUACUAUGUUCCUUCAAGUGUAAGCAUUUGAAAUUCUUGAUGCAUUUGAGACGGUGGAAACGAGAGAAGCUGGGAUCGUAGCACUGACCAUGACUGUGAUUGCUAGAGCUCUCAACUGGCUGGGAAGAUUUGACAAGAGAUGUGGAGAUGGGGCACGGGGAGGGGAGGACGAGUCGGCCUGGAGGCCCCGGUUGUGGCUUCAACUAGGCAGGCUUGGGACUCGCGGUGGCGGGCGGCCUCACGCUGGAUCUGGUCCUGGCGGGCGGCCUCGGCCUCGUCCACACGGACUUCUCCUGGUUGUUGAACCGGUUGAGGGUCAUCCAACUUCUUGUUUAUCAGGCUUCAACUAGGCAGGCUUGGGACUCGCGGUGGCGGGCGGCCUCACGCUGGAGCUGGUCCUGGCGGGCGGCCUCGGCCUCGUCCACACGGACUUCUCCUGGUUGUUGAACCGGUUGAGGGUCAUCCAACUUCUUGUUUAUCAGGUUACUGUUUGAUAAAAUGCAAGAUAUUUUUGUUUGGAAGGGUUUCCUGACAUCCGGACAGGUCAUACUUUUGCAAGAUACAUGCGAGGAUUGCUGUGUCAAACCUGCACAAGGAUUCCAAGAAGUUCUCGAAGACGUAAGCCACGACGUAUGUUUCUACCAUGAUUUCCUUCAGUUGGAUUUCGUGGAUUUAGGUGUUGAAAAAUUAUGGGCUGUGGAUGGCUGCUUCUUUGUAGCUUCCAAAUUUGAAAUGUUUGUUUGAGAGUUAAUUUAGUUUCUGUUAUGGAUUCACAGCUUCUCACAUGUACCAUCCUUUUAGACUUUUAGAUUUCUAAAGAAACAAAAUGAAGAUAUCAUGGAAUGGUCUCAAUAGUACAGCUUAAAGCUUUUUAUGCUUUAUAUUUUCUUUGAAA
This is a non-coding RNA of Triticum urartu, 2319 nucleotides long. The record is from RefSeq and is a predicted model, not a curated record. Lineage: Eukaryota; Viridiplantae; Streptophyta; Magnoliopsida; Poales; Poaceae.